CUGGCAGUAGUGACAAUGGAGGAUUUGGGGCUUAAAGGCUUGGUGGGGGUUGGAGAUUGGGGAUUUAGGUUUGAGGGUUUAGAAAAUAGGUAUUUUGGAGAUGAAAACUCGGGAGAAAGGUCUGUGCAGCAGAUAUAAUCUGUUAUGUUUUUUUUUUAAAAGACCUGGACCAAAACCACGUCGUUUUGGCCAGGUCUUUA
This 200-nucleotide long non-coding RNA is filed under the name Prunus persica (peach). Its description in RNAcentral is "long non-coding RNA (PPER_LNC005186)". Lineage: Eukaryota; Viridiplantae; Streptophyta; Magnoliopsida; Rosales; Rosaceae. The record is from RNAcentral.